This 465-nucleotide ribosomal RNA is filed under the name uncultured bacterium. RNAcentral describes it as "partial 16S ribosomal RNA". It matches the Rfam family "Bacterial small subunit ribosomal RNA", at positions 330 to 792 of the family's 1533-position model. The record is from RNAcentral.
UCCAGACUCCUACGGGAGGCAGCAGUGAGGAAUAUUGGUCAAUGGGAGGAAUCCUGGACCAGCCAUGCCGCGUGCAGGACGACGGCUCUACGAGUUGUAAACUGCUUUUGUACCGGGGUAAAAUGCCUUACGAGUAGGGUUUUGAAAGUACGGUACGAAUAAGGAUCGGCUAACUCCGUGCCAGCAGCCGCGGUAAUACGGAGGAUCCGAGCGUUAUCCGGAUUCAUUGGGUUUAAAGGGAGCGUAGGCCGGCUUUUAAGUCAGCUGUGAAAGUCCGCGGCUCAACCGUGGAAUUGCAGUUGAAACUGGAGGCCUUGAGUGCACACAGGGAUGCCGGAAUUCAUGGUGUAGCGGUGAAAUGCUUAGAUAUCAUGAAGAACUCCGAUCGCGAAGGCAAGUGUCCGGGGUGCAACUGACGCUGAGGCUCGAAAGUGCGGGUAUCAAACAGGAUUAGAUACCCCUAUA